GUGGUUGUAGCUCAGUUGGUUAGAGCGUCGGUUUGUGGUACCGAAAGUCGUGGGUUCGAGCCCCAUCUUCCACCCA
RNAcentral lists this transfer RNA (76 nucleotides) under Polaribacter sp. MED152. Its description in RNAcentral is "tRNA-His". It matches the Rfam family "tRNA". Rfam says of the family: Transfer RNA (tRNA) molecules are approximately 80 nucleotides in length. Their secondary structure includes four short double-helical elements and three loops (D, anti-codon, and T loops). Further hydrogen bonds mediate the characteristic L-shaped molecular structure. tRNAs have two regions of fundamental functional importance: the anti-codon, which is responsible for specific mRNA codon recognition, and the 3' end, to which the tRNAs corresponding amino acid is attached (by aminoacyl-tRNA synthetases). tRNAs cope with the degeneracy of the genetic code in two manners: having more than one tRNA (with a specific anti-codon) for a particular amino acid; and 'wobble' base-pairing, i.e. permitting non-standard base-pairing at the 3rd anti-codon position. RNAcentral also lists the same sequence under 3 other names. The record is from RNAcentral. Lineage: Bacteria; Pseudomonadati; Bacteroidota; Flavobacteriia; Flavobacteriales; Flavobacteriaceae.